Long non-coding RNA from Drosophila willistoni, 779 nucleotides. RefSeq lists it as uncharacterized. The record is from RefSeq and is a predicted model, not a curated record. NCBI's taxonomy places the organism in Eukaryota, Metazoa, Arthropoda, Insecta, Diptera, Drosophilidae. The transcript has 3 exons.
GAAUUAAUCCAAAAAAAUUGUAAAUUAAUCAAUGCAUUGAAAUUUAGAUGAAUCUCUGAGCAAAGAACGCACCAAUUUGCAAAACGGCCGGGUGCGGCCUUUUUUUUGUCGCUGGGUGUACUUUUAUGCAGAUGUCAAGCUUUUUAAAUUCCACAUUCGACGCACAUCUUGCCUUACUCGCCGACAGUUGCCUCCGCCUGGUUGAGCAACUCCCAAGCCAAAGACCGUGCGCAAGGAAUAUAUAGGUACCCUACAAGUCCCGUUUUUGUCAGACUGGACGUUGGGCAAACUGGGCAAGGAAACCGUCGUUCAGGAAUGGAAAUUUAAACGUAUCACCGAUCUGCGCCAAUUGCAUCUCAAUGGACACUUUGAGUGUGCCUAUAAGCUGACCAAUCAAUUUGGCUAUUAAUUCGCCAGCAAAUACAGUGGGCCGUUGGAAGCCCGCUGGCUAACUGGAUAAAUCAACUUGUCGCAGCGCCUUAGACCAUUUCAAUGUCGUUUAGAUCGAGUUGUGGACAAAACGAAUUUCGUUGAAUUGCAAGCGCUAUAGAGCGAAAAUCUUGGAGACUUCCAUGACCCAGGAGCAGGCACAUUUAUUGCACAAUUUAAGCCGUUGCCAACAGAAGCAGGAGGAACCGCGAAUAAGUGUUUAUAUUGUAAGCAAAAGAUUGUCCAAUAAGUACCUAUAGUUAAAAGCUUCUUAAAAUAGCAGCAAACAAAUUUGCAAUAAAGGUAAGACGACAUCAGUUGUUAAAUGAAGGCUGACGCAAUGUCAACAA